This 460-nucleotide ribosomal RNA is filed under the name uncultured bacterium. RNAcentral describes it as "partial 16S ribosomal RNA". It matches the Rfam family "Bacterial small subunit ribosomal RNA", at positions 338 to 795 of the family's 1533-position model. The record is from RNAcentral.
CCUACGGGAGGCAGCAGUGAGGAAUAUUGGUCAAUGGGCGCGAGCCUGAACCAGCCAAGUCGCGUGAAGGAUGACUGCCCUACGGGUUGUAAACUUCUUUUAUCAAGGAAUAAAGUGAGGCACUUAUGCCUUUUUGUAUGUACUUUAUGAAUAAGGAUCGGCUAACUCCGUGCCAGCAGCCGAGGUAAUGCGGAGGAUCCGAGCGUUACCCGGAUUUAUUGGGUUUAAAGGGAGCGUAGAGGGGUUGUUAAGUCAGUUGUGAAAGUUUGGGGCUCAACCGUAAAAUUGCAAUUGAUACUGGUAAUCUAGAGGACAGGUGAGGGAGGCGGAAUGCGUGGUGUAGCGGUGAAAUGCGUAGAUAUGUCGAAGAACUCCGAUGGCGAAGGCAGCUUACUAAACAACCACUGACAUUGAGGCGCGAAAGUGUGGGUAGCAAACAGGAUUAGAUACCCGAGUAGUC